GACAGCCACUUUUUAAAUGUUUAUAUUUCAACAACGAAUUGAAGUAGAAACGUCAUUGUAUAAUUAAAAUGUUGAUGGGAGCAAGUCACUCAACACAGGUCUUAUAUCUGGCCGUGGAGUUUGUUUUAUGCCUACCUGAUACAUCUACAUCCAUAGAACGCGUGUUCUCGUUAAUGAAUGCAUCAUGGACAGCAGAAAAAUCUCCGCCAAUAGCAAUGAAGUCAAUGCUUUUCAUUUUCCAUUCCAUUUCUUAUAUACAGUAGUGGCAAAAAGUGAUGUCCGGAGAGGAUAUUUCUCGAUAUUUGCUUUAAUGUUUUAUUUGGUUUAAUAUUUUGUUGGUUCUCCCUUAUUUUUGAUCUUAGCAAUAAUACAAUAUUUAAAUAAAGGGCAAAAAUAUAAAUUAUCCUAGGCUGGACAUCACUUUUGGCCACUACUGUAUCUGCCCAUCCCGCAUCUACCCUAGAUAAGACAGACAUUCAAAUAUGACAAUUGUGUACUGUUUGGGGUACUCCGAAAACAGGGUUGGAAAAAAACUGUUAGGCUACCUUAGUCAUGUUUCUUUUCUUUUCUUUUUUUUUUGUGCCAAAUUCCAUUUUUCACAUGCCAUUUUUCCUGGAGUCCUGGAGCAGUGCAUCUCAGAGCUGUCCUAGGAACCAUUACCACUGCACUCACCCUCAUCUGAUCAACUCAACAGCUCAUUAGCAGAGACUGCAUAACUUGAAUUGGGUGUCUCUGAUGAGAAAGCCACACAAAAAUGUGCAGUAGUGGGAGUCCUCCAUGACAGGUUUUUUAGAAGUGCUAGGUCUCAUAGUUGGGGUGCUCCAAAGAUGCGUGCCCAAAGGCCUCGACAGACCAUGACCUGUAAGUACUACUAAUAAAAAUGUAAAAACAUCUUUGCUGUAGUGUACUGGUGGCAAAUCCCUGCCUGGUAGAACAAUGUGUCUGACUGAUUUAAGAUGUUCGUAUUACAGGGGAUAAAAUUGGUUUCUACGCUGAUGUUUUACCAUCAAAAUUGUGGUGGGGCAAAACUGAUGGGGCAUCUGAUUUUCUCAGUGCUAUGCGUUUGGUUUAUGUGUUUCCAGAUGCACUUCAUGAUUCCCUUUAGCUGGAGCUCCACGCAGAUGCUUAUAGGCCAGCUGUCAACUGAUGAAAGAUCUUCCUUCCAAUCCACUUGUUAUUGUGCUGUCCAGGUGACAAGUAUACCUAUAGAGUAGCAGUGAGAUCAGAUGGAGACUUUCCUGCUUCUCAGAUGUUUCUCCACCAAUCCUGGAGCAGUGUUUCCCAAUCAAGUUCCUGGAGUCCCCCAACACUGCAUAUUUGGCAUGUUUCCUUUAUCAAACACCUGAUUCAGGAUUGAUGGAAGCUGAGUUUCUGGAGAGAUCUUAAGAAUCUCUCAAACUGUUCACUGAGAUUUCAAUAUUAAACACUGGGUGAAGGUCUCAAGUACCGCGGAGAUGUUUGGUGGUCUGCGCUGACUCACUCAUGUCAUCUGACCUGUGCCAUAUCUGUGUGUCUGGACUGCUGAGGUCUGCAAGACACUGACAUGAUACUGGACUUCAUUCACCCCAAAGGAAAGCUUAUUUACACUGUCUGAAAUGUUCAGACUCUCCUCUGAUCUCAGUCACCUACUCAGAUCUUGACCUGGACUCGAAAGAGCCGUCCUCAACCACAGAAUACAUAUCUCAAUACUGCACGUCAGCUAAUGUCUUUCAAAAUGUAUUUUAACUUUUAUGGAUUGGCUCCACUGUAAGUGUUUCAUAUAUAUAUAUAUAUAUAUAUAUAUAUAUAUAUAUAUAUAUAUAUAUAUAUAUAUAUAUAUGAAAUAUUAAUCUACAACUGUAAAAUAUUUAGGAAGCUUUAAACUAUAAAAACAAUCAUGACGUUUUUUAAAAAGGUCAAAUAAACAGAGAACUAAAAAUAAAUUGACUGAGCACUCAAGGUGAUGGGCUGGUACUAUUGAUUUUACCUGUCUCUGAUGGACAGCUCUGACAAAAUACACAGACGUCCUGUCUUGUCCUGGCCUCCGUGUCAAAUCAACAGAUCAGAGCAUUCUUGACUGACAAAGACAUAAACAGUCCUGUCUGGGGAAGAAGAAAGAGCAGCCGUCAAGGCUCCUGUCAUAUUUUACAUCACUCUGCCAUCGCCGCACUAAAAUUGUGGCGGAGGAGAGUGUAAAGUGCCGUAAAAUGGGAAGAAAUCUUAAACUAUUUUCUGCUCAGGAGCACCAAAUGCUACACACCCCUCACCCCCCGGCCCACUCUCCUCUGCCUCCCCCGGCCUCAACAAGACAAAUGGGCACGAGUGGAUGACAGAGAGCCUGGCCCACAAAUCACCCUGUACUGGCCCGUCCAGUGCUCCCCCCUGCCGGCCCGCUCCAUUACUCAUCAGCAUGCAGGGAGCAGCAGCCCGCUGCCGUAAUUAGACAAGGACAAAUAGCCAGCCGCGGACACCAUGGGUCCGUCCACUAAAAACAGGGCCCUUCUCCAUGCAGGCCGCUGUAUAGAGGGCAUCAGGGACGGGGACGCCGACCGUCCGUGACUGGUUUAAUGUCUGGUUCUUGCCCUGAACAUGGCCUGCUGCAUGUCGGGACGACCCUGGCAUGACCUGAGAUUUGAGGGCCAGACUCGACAGAACAAGGUUUGCAUUGUACAUCUGCCGCGACCAGCUUUGUUAAUGUCAGCUUUGUUAAUGUAUAUUCAAAAUAUAGAAAAGUAUUAAUAUAAGUUUAGAUGCCCCUCAUAUGUCUUAACCAUAGUCAUGAAAUCUCAACACAUUUACCAAACAAAAGUUUCACCUAAUCAUCAACAUUUGCAAGAUUAAUACAAGAUUUAUUCCAUCAUGUGAUUUUAUUUUAUUUGAACAUCUUGAUGUCUGUUUGUCCAGUUGCAGAGCCAGUCAUUUGUUUAGAUUUGUCAAGUAACAAAUAUUGUUUCAUUUUAAACUGAAAAAUUGUAGCCUCAGAAUUGGGAUAGAGAGCCUCCAGUGGCAUGUUGUUGCUAGUGCUUUUAUAAAAUUUAAUAGUUAUGAUAACUAAUGGCAUCGUUUUUAUAUGAUCAUUCAGUCUGACUUCAGUCUGUUGGUAUCAUGACAUCCCUUCAUUAAACAUUUGGGCUUGUAAUUUUAUGUUACAGAUCAAAUUUAUAAUUUUAUCUUCUGGAAAUGUGUUAUUUGAUUUCAGUUACACGUAUCUGCAUGGUCUAUUUGAUUUAGUGCUAAAGGAAAUGAUUUGUCAUUUCCCCCUCCCCCUGCUUUAUUAAUAAUUGGGGAUUGGAGUAUUUAAGGACUCUGAGAACUCAUCUGAAGACACACUCUCUGUGUUCACAAUUCUCAGGAUUGGCUCUUGAUCAGAAUGUGACAUCUUACUGAUCUCUUUUCUUAUAGACUUGCACCAUGUUCUGAGUUCUGAGAUUUUGUUAUAAAUAUUUUGAUUCGUUAUUCUUGUUUUUUUUUUCCGCUCAUUCUGAUUUUCACUGGAGUUAUGUUUGUUAUUCGUGGUAGCUGUUACAUUUGUUUGUCAAAACAAAAAAGCUGAAUGUAACAUAAAACGGGGGCUCGUCCGGGAUUAGUCCAUAUUUUUCCUCUGUAUUUUUACGAGGGACUUUCCCUAUAUCGUUACUGAAAAAAAAACUAAAUUUCAAAAAAAAAAAAAACACAUGCCUCCUUUUGAUUAUAAAAAAUCCAUAAUGUAACAAAAUUGAUGAUGGUCCUGAAAAGUCACAGAAGCACCAGGUCCCACUGGACUGAUCUGUAAUGUGUCCUUUCAAUACCAUGAGAAGGACCAUUGAAAUAGUGACAAUAAAUAAUGAUGUUCUCUUGUCAAAACAUAUUUGCAUCCUUCAUGAAAACAUUGACUGCAUUUAUGGUGUUCAGCACAAAACAACAUCUUCCAGAUUACAAUGUCUGGUAGAAUAUCACUAGUUCCUCACAGAAAUAUAUGGCUGUACAGUAUGUGUCAGAUCAUUUUAUUGUAAAUUACUUGUGAAAUCCAUGAGUGUUACCUUGUCAGUCCGCAGGAACUACUAGUGAUCUGGACCAUUAUUUUAAAGUGUUACCCAAGCAUUCAACAACAACAACAACUACAACAGAAAAGGUGUAUUAUUUUGGGCCCCUGUCCAUAAAAUAUUGUCCCAGGCCCUGUGUAUUCAAGUAACAGGCCUGCCAUAAACAUCAUAAUUAAAAAAAUAUACAACAUAAAUUUAAAUUUUUAUUCCAAGUCAUAAUUAAGAGGGGUAAAAGUCAAAAUUGUGAGACUUCUUAUCUCAUAAUUGUAAUUUUCAAUAACUAUUCCAACUUUUUGUGUCAUAACUGUAUUUUGUUAUCAUUUAAUUUUAUCUCACAGUUAUAACUUUUAGUCUCAUGAUUCAAAAAGGGUGUUCAUUCAACAUUCACCAGUGUUCAUCUUUUCACGUCAGUUUUGACCUCAUAGUUAUGGCCUUUUUUACUUAUAAUUGUGAAUUAUGACAUAUUAUUUAUAGUCAUAAUUCUAACUUUUUGUCA
Carassius auratus (goldfish) is the source of this 4497-nucleotide long non-coding RNA. The record is from Ensembl. Lineage: Eukaryota; Metazoa; Chordata; Actinopteri; Cypriniformes; Cyprinidae.